GGACCUCUGGAAGAGCAGUCAAUGCUCUUAAUCCCCUGAGCCAUCUCUCCAGCUCCACAGAAAUUCUUAAAGUGCCUGGAACAACACCUAGGACCAACGUGUAUUUCAUCACCCAUGUGUAGUUCUUUUUAACCUAUGUGUAGAAACCUGGCCCCUGCAGACUACAUGGAUAACUGCAGACAUUGCUGAAGGCAGCUUUAAAGAUUCUGCUCCUCAAAGAUGAAGUGCACUAAGUCACCAACAGAUGCUCCACAAAGGACCAAAUUAGAAGUGUUCCAGCAAGAGACUAAUACUAUGGUGGGGGACUGGAGUCUCCAUAGAGGAGAAACUGCACCGUUCCUGGUUAUUGAAAAUUAAAGCGCAAUGCACACCAA
This is a long non-coding RNA of Mastomys coucha (southern multimammate mouse), 374 nucleotides long. RefSeq lists it as uncharacterized. The record is from RefSeq and is a predicted model, not a curated record. NCBI's taxonomy places the organism in Eukaryota, Metazoa, Chordata, Mammalia, Rodentia, Muridae. The transcript has 2 exons.